Molecule: ribosomal RNA, 497 nt
Filed under: uncultured bacterium
Lineage: Bacteria
Description: partial 16S ribosomal RNA
Rfam family: Bacterial small subunit ribosomal RNA
Source: RNAcentral
GAUGAACGCUGGCGGCGUGCCUAAUACAUGCAAGUCGAGCGAACAGACGAGGAGCUUGCUCCUCUGACGUUAGCGGCGGACGGGUGAGUAACACGUGGAUAACCUACCUAUAAGACUGGGAUAACUUCGGGAAACCGGAGCUAAUACCGGAUAACAUGUUGAACCGCAUGGUUCAACAGUGAAAGACGGUCUUGCUGUCACUUAUAGAUGGAUCCGCGCCGCAUUAGCUAGUUGGUAAGGUAACGGCUUACCAAGGCAACGAUGCGUAACCGCCCUGAGAGGGUGAUUGCCCACACUGGCAGUGAGCAACGGUCCAGACUCCUACGGGAGGCAGCAGUAGGGAAUCUUACGCAAUGGGCGAAAGCCUGACGGAGCAACGCCGCGUGAGUGAAGAAGGUCUUCGGGUCGUAAAACUAUGUUAUUAGGAAAGAACAAAUGUGUAAGUAACUAUGCACGUCUUGACGGUACCUAAUCAGAAAGCCCCGGCUAACUCCGUG